This 2991-nucleotide ribosomal RNA is filed under the name Salmonella enterica subsp. enterica serovar 4,[5],12:i:-. RNAcentral describes it as "23S ribosomal RNA". It matches the Rfam family "Bacterial large subunit ribosomal RNA". Lineage: Bacteria; Pseudomonadati; Pseudomonadota; Gammaproteobacteria; Enterobacterales; Enterobacteriaceae. The record is from RNAcentral.
GGUUAAGCGACUAAGCGUACACGGUGGAUGCCCUGGCAGUCAGAGGCGAUGAAGGACGUGCUAAUCUGCGAUAAGCGCCGGUAAGGUGAUAUGAACCGUUAUAACCGGCGAUUUCCGAAUGGGGAAACCCAGUGUGAUUCGUCACACUAUCAUUAACUGAAUCCAUAGGUUAAUGAGGCGAACCGGGGGAACUGAAACAUCUAAGUACCCCGAGGAAAAGAAAUCAACCGAGAUUCCCCCAGUAGCGGCGAGCGAACGGGGAGGAGCCCAGAGCCUGAAUCAGCAUGUGUGUUAGUGGAAGCGUCUGGAAAGGCGCGCGAUACAGGGUGACAGCCCCGUACACAAAAGCGCAUGUGCUGUGAGCUCGAUGAGUAGGGCGGGACACGUGGUAUCCUGUCUGAAUAUGGGGGGACCAUCCUCCAAGGCUAAAUACUCCUGACUGACCGAUAGUGAACCAGUACCGUGAGGGAAAGGCGAAAAGAACCCCGGCGAGGGGAGUGAAAAAGAACCUGAAACCGUGUACGUACAAGCAGUGGGAGCACAGGUUUACCUGUGUGACUGCGUACCUUUUGUAUAAUGGGUCAGCGACUUAUAUUCUGUAGCAAGGUUAACCGAAUAGGGGAGCCGGAGGGAAACCGAGUCUUAAUUGGGCGUUAAGUUGCAGGGUAUAGACCCGAAACCCGGUGAUCUAGCCAUGGGCAGGUUGAAGGUUGGGUAACACUAACUGGAGGACCGAACCGACUAAUGUUGAAAAAUUAGCGGAUGACCUGUGGCUGGGGGUGAAAGGCCAAUCAAACCGGGAGAUAGCUGGUUCUCCCCGAAAGCUAUUUAGGUAGCGCCUCGUGAAUUCAUCUCCGGGGGUAGAGCACUGUUUCGGCUAGGGGGCCAUCCCGGCUUACCAACCCGAUGCAAACUGCGAAUACCGGAGAAUGUUAUCACGGGAGACACACGGCGGGUGCUAACGUCCGUCGUGAAGAGGGAAACAACCCAGACCGCCAGCUAAGGUCCCAAAGUCAUGGUUAAGUGGGAAACGAUGUGGGAAGGCCCAGACAGCCAGGAUGUUGGCUUAGAAGCAGCCAUCAUUUAAAGAAAGCGUAAUAGCUCACUGGUCGAGUCGGCCUGCGCGGAAGAUGUAACGGGGCUAAACCAUGCACCGAAGCUGCGGCAGCGAACGUAUCACCCAAGACAACUUUACGGAGUUGACGAUUGACGGAGCGAAGCGACGUCAAAGCGUUCAUUAAAGUCGAGUUGGCUUAGGGAUACGUUCGUUGGGUAGGGGAGCGUUCUGUAAGCCUGUGAAGGUGUGUCGUGAGGCAUGCUGGAGGUAUCAGAAGUGCGAAUGCUGACAUAAGUAACGAUAAAGCGGGUGAAAAGCCCGCUCGCCGGAAGACCAAGGGUUCCUGUCCAACGUUAAUCGGGGCAGGGUGAGUCGACCCCUAAGGCGAGGCCGAAAGGCGUAGUCGAUGGGAAACGGGUUAAUAUUCCCGUACUUGGUGUUACUGCGAAGGGGGGACGGAGAAGGCUAUGUUGGCCGGGCGACGGUUGUCCCGGUUUAAGCGUGUAGGUGUGUGUUCCAGGUAAAUCCGGUUCACUUUAACACUGAGGCGUGACGACGAGGCACUACGGUGCUGAAGCAACAAAUGCCCUGCUUCCAGGAAAAGCCUCUAAGCAUCAGGUAACACGAAAUCGUACCCCAAACCGACACAGGUGGUCAGGUAGAGAAUACCAAGGCGCUUGAGAGAACUCGGGUGAAGGAACUAGGCAAAAUGGUGCCGUAACUUCGGGAGAAGGCACGCUGACACGUAGGUGAAGUGAUUUACUCAUGGAGCUGAAGUCAGUCGAAGAUACCAGCUGGCUGCAACUGUUUAUUAAAAACACAGCACUGUGCAAACACGAAAGUGGACGUAUACGGUGUGACGCCUGCCCGGUGCCGGAAGGUUAAUUGAUGGGGUCAGCGCAAGCGAAGCUCCUGAUCGAAGCCCCGGUAAACGGCGGCCGUAACUAUAACGGUCCUAAGGUAGCGAAAUUCCUUGUCGGGUAAGUUCCGACCUGCACGAAUGGCGUAAUGAUGGCCAGGCUGUCUCCACCCGAGACUCAGUGAAAUUGAACUCGCUGUGAAGAUGCAGUGUACCCGCGGCAAGACGGAAAGACCCCGUGAACCUUUACUAUAGCUUGACACUGAACAUUGAGCCUUGAUGUGUAGGAUAGGUGGGAGGCUUUGAAGUGUGGACGCCAGUCUGCAUGGAGCCGACCUUGAAAUACCACCCUUUAAUGUUUGAUGUUCUAACGUGGACCCGUAAUCCGGGUUGCGGACAGUGUCUGGUGGGUAGUUUGACUGGGGCGGUCUCCUCCUAAAGAGUAACGGAGGAGCACGAAGGUUGGCUAAUCCUGGUCGGACAUCAGGAGGUUAGUGCAAUGGCAUAAGCCAGCUUGACUGCGAGCGUGACGGCGCGAGCAGGUGCGAAAGCAGGUCAUAGUGAUCCGGUGGUUCUGAAUGGAAGGGCCAUCGCUCAACGGAUAAAAGGUACUCCGGGGAUAACAGGCUGAUACCGCCCAAGAGUUCAUAUCGACGGCGGUGUUUGGCACCUCGAUGUCGGCUCAUCACAUCCUGGGGCUGAAGUAGGUCCCAAGGGUAUGGCUGUUCGCCAUUUAAAGUGGUACGCGAGCUGGGUUUAGAACGUCGUGAGACAGUUCGGUCCCUAUCUGCCGUGGGCGCUGGAGAACUGAGGGGGGCUGCUCCUAGUACGAGAGGACCGGAGUGGACGCAUCACUGGUGUUCGGGUUGUCAUGCCAAUGGCACUGCCCGGUAGCUAAAUGCGGAAGAGAUAAGUGCUGAAAGCAUCUAAGCACGAAACUUGCCCCGAGAUGAGUUCUCCCUGAGACUUAGAGUCUCCUGAAGGAACGUUGAAGACGACGACGUUGAUAGGCCGGUGUGUAAGCGCAGCGAUGCGUUGAGCUAACCGGUACUAAUGAACCGUGAGGCUUAACCUU